This 440-nucleotide ribosomal RNA is filed under the name uncultured bacterium. RNAcentral's name for it is "partial 16S ribosomal RNA". It matches the Rfam family "Bacterial small subunit ribosomal RNA", at positions 338 to 795 of the family's 1533-position model. The record is from RNAcentral.
CCUACGGGUGGCAGCAGUGGGGAAUAUUGGACAAUGGGGGAAACCCUGAUCCAGCGACGCCGCGUGAGUGAAGCAGUAUUUCGGUACGUAAAGCUCUAUCAGCAGGAAAGAAAAUGAAGGUACCUGACUAAGAUGCCACGGCCAAAUACGUGCCAGCAGCCGCGGGAAUACGUAGGGGGCAAGCGUUAUCCGGAUUUACUGGGUGUAACGGGAGCGUAGACGGCUGCGCAAGUCUGGAGUGAAAUGCCGGGGCUCAACCCCGGAACUGCUCUGGAAACUGUGAAGCUGGAGUGCAGGAGAGGUAAGCGGAAUUCGUGGUGUAGCGGUGAAAUGCGUAGAUAUCAGGAGGAACACCGGCGGCGAAGGCGGCUUACUGGACUGUAACUGACGUUGAGGCUCGAAGGCGUGGGGAGCAAACAGGAUUAGAUACCCGUGUAGUC